UACAUGGGGUGCAAACGUUGCUCGGAAUUAUUGGGCGUAAAGCGCACGUAGGCGGUCGCUUAAGUCGGAUGUGAAAGCCCUCGGCUCAACUGAGGAAGUGCAUCCGAAACUGAGUGGCUAGAGUAUGGUAGAGGGUCGCGGAAUUCCCGGUGUAGAGGUGAAAUUCGUAGAUAUCGGGAGGAACACCAGUGGCGAAGGCGGCGACCUGGGCCGAUACUGACGCUGAGGAGCGAAAGCGUGGGGAGCGAACAGG
RNAcentral lists this ribosomal RNA (253 nucleotides) under uncultured bacterium. RNAcentral's name for it is "partial 16S ribosomal RNA". It matches the Rfam family "Bacterial small subunit ribosomal RNA", at positions 524 to 776 of the family's 1533-position model. The record is from RNAcentral.